This is a long non-coding RNA of Gallus gallus (chicken), 1084 nucleotides long. The record is from Ensembl. NCBI's taxonomy places the organism in Eukaryota, Metazoa, Chordata, Aves, Galliformes, Phasianidae.
GCGAGAUGCAUAGCGGUUGAAAAAUGGGAUGGAUAUUUUGCACCAAGAUCACCUGCCUGAACUGCAGUCUCCUUCUGUUAUCUGGAUUGAGCGGAAGAAUACUUUGGACGUAACCCACGAAGGAGAAUUUGCCACUCUGCUGUUCUGGCUGCAGCCUCCACAUGUUUGAAGAGUUUUACCCAACUCUGGGUUUGUCAGCAAUCCAGGCUGCACAACGCAUAAAUGUAGCAGUGCCGGGAGCCAACAUGUUUGUGGAUUUAAUGGGAAUUGCAAAACACUGAAACAUCCUGUUCCAGAAAGGAGACUAAUACAGGAGCAAGAGGUUAGAAAAAGCCUCUCGUGAGAAAGAAGUGACAAGUUUGAAGACAUAAGUGUGUGGCAGAAAGUGAGAAAGAACUGGAAUUUCCCAGCUCUUUGGCAGAAAAAGGUGCAGAUGAGACAUGCAAGAGCCACUUUAUCCUACCUGGAACACUGGAGCUGAUUACCAAAGGCUUUUCUAAUGUGUCCCUGGAGAGCCACAGAGCAAUACAGACAAUUCCAGCAUCUCACUUGUACCUCGGGAAGCAAAGAAGAGCUACAUUUAAGAUGGAAAAGAUAUUAAAACCCAGAAAGCUCUUCCACUGACCGGGGGCACCACAGGAAUUCCUUUUGCUUUGAACAGACGCAGCGCCCUUCCUCCUCCUCACUGCUGUUUCCCACUGAGCGUCUGCUGGGAUGAGCUGGUUGGUGGCCAUGGCUUAGAAGAUUAUAUCCACUAAGUUUAUUUAGCCAGGAAUACUGAUCCCAGAAGGACACGGAUGCCCAAACAAGGAAGAGCUCCCGCUGUGACGCCCGUACUUUGCUGUAAGUGGAGGUGCUUUGCCAUGGAAGUGUUCUCCAUUUGCCACCACUGCUCUUGUGUAAGAGGUGAAAAAGCCCCUGCUGCUCUGAGACUGCAGCUGGGCAGGGGAGGAACGAUGCUGCGAAAGAAAACUCGUGAGCGAUGAUAAAAUGGAGAAACUCACCUUGAACUGCAUUGCUAGGGUGUGUCUCUUGGAAUACAGCCACACUGGAAAGGAACCUGAAAGCUCCGAUGUUUUGCCUA